AGAGUUUGAUCCUGGCUCAGAGCGAACGCUGGCGGCAGGCCUAAUACAUGCAAGUCGAGCGGGUCCUUCGGGACUAGCGGCGGACGGGUGAGUAACGCGUGGGAACGUGCCCUUUGGUACGGAACAACUGAGGGAAACUUCAGCUAAUACCGUAUGUGCCCUUCGGGGGAAAGAUUUAUCGCCAUUGGAGCGGCCCGCGUUGGAUUAGGUAGUUGGUGAGGUAAAGGCUCACCAAGCCUACGAUCCAUAGCUGGUCUGAGAGGAUGACCAGCCACACUGGGACUGAGACACGGCCCAAACUCCUACGGGAGGCAGCAGUGGGGAAUCUUGCGCAAUGGGCGAAAGCCUGACGCAGCCAUGCCGCGUGAAUGAUGAAGGUCUUAGGAUUGUAAAAUUCUUUCACCGGGGACGAUAAUGACGGUACCCGGAGAAGAAGCCCCGGCUAACUUCGUGCCAGCAGCCGCGGUAAUACGAAGGGGGCUAGCGUUGCUCGGAAUUACUGGGCGUAAAGGGAGCGUAGGCGGAUAGUUUAGUCAGAGGUGAAAGCCCAGGGCUCAACCUUGGAAUUGCCUUUGAUACUGGCUAUCUUGAGUUUGGGAGAGGUGAGUGGAACUCCGAGUGUAGAGGUGAAAUUCGUAGAUAUUCGGAAGAACACCAGUGGCGAAGGCGACUCACUGGCCCAAUACUGACGCUGAGGCUCGAAAGCGUGGGGAGCAAACAGGAUUAGAUACCCUGGUAGUCCACGCCGUAAACGAUGGUUGCUAGUUGUCGGGAAGCUUGCUUCUCGGUGACGCAGCUAACGCAUUAAGCAAUCCGCCUGGGGAGUACGGUCGCAAGAUUAAAACUUAAAGGAAUUGACGG
Molecule: ribosomal RNA, 861 nt
Filed under: uncultured bacterium
Lineage: Bacteria
Description: bacterial SSU rRNA
Rfam family: Bacterial small subunit ribosomal RNA
Source: RNAcentral